This is a long non-coding RNA of Oryza brachyantha (malo sina), 641 nucleotides long. RefSeq lists it as uncharacterized. The record is from RefSeq and is a predicted model, not a curated record. The transcript has 3 exons. NCBI's taxonomy places the organism in Eukaryota, Viridiplantae, Streptophyta, Magnoliopsida, Poales, Poaceae.
GCAGCACUUCCGGCGGCGGCCAUGGUGGCAGGGCUAAGGAGAGGAAGGGGGAGGCGUAGAGGCUGGCGGAGGUGGUGGUUGCGCUAGAGCGAUCCUGGCUUAUCCGUGGCUGCUCUGGUUAGUUGGGUAGGAGGAGGGCACGGGGGCUAUUUGGAGGCCGAGGAGAUGAAGGUGCUGCUGGCGGAGCCAGUCGACAACGGAGAGGAUUCCGCCGGUCGACAACGGAGAGGAUGAGAAUGGCAACUUCCUACACUACUAACCAGUGACGAAGAACAUUAGCCGAUGAGCAUACUAUCAGCAUCGAUGGAUAAGAUGAUGAUAUGAAAGCCGGAGGAAAAUAUUGGUGUUUGGAUUAUAAAUUUUGUGAUUGUUGUUAAUUCACUAAGCACUCAGAUCCUAUGGUGGCCAUUGUGAAUAUGACGGAUAUAUUUUAUAUGUGAAGAGAUGUUGGACUAAGCAGAGCCUCGCGUAGUCCAAUUAGCUCAUUUUGUAUUCGGGUCUGUUUUAACAUGGUCAGGAUUUGGUGAAUAUUUGUUAUCCUAAGUGUACAGAAUAAUUUUAAUUGUAUGUGUUUCAAACAAUUUGGUUAGAUAGACAAAGUCAAUUGAAUGAAACAAAAAGUUAUCUUGGAAAUUCAACGG